Molecule: ribosomal RNA, 492 nt
Filed under: uncultured bacterium
Lineage: Bacteria
Description: partial 16S ribosomal RNA
Rfam family: Bacterial small subunit ribosomal RNA
Source: RNAcentral
AGUGAACGCUGGCGGUAGGCCUAACACAUGCAAGUCGAGCGGCAGCACAGUAAGAGCUUGCUCUUACGGGUGGCGAGUGGCGGACGGGUGAGGAAUACAUCGGAAUCUACUUUUUCGUGGGGGAUAACGUAGGGAAACUUACGCUAAUACCGCAUACGACCUACGGGUGAAAGCAGGGGAUCUUCGGACCUUGCGCGAUUGAAUGAGCCGAUGUCGGAUUAGCUAGUUGGCGGGGUAAAGGCCCACCAAGGCGACGAUCCGUAGCUGGUCUGAGAGGAUGAUCAGCCACACUGGAACUGAGACACGGUCCAGACUCCUACGGGAGGCAGCAGUGGGGAAUAUUGGACAAUGGGCGCAAGCCUGAUCCAGCCAUACCGCGUGGGUGAAGAAGGCCUUCGGGUUGUAAAGCCCUUUUGUUGGGAAAGAAAAGCAGCAGGUUAAUACCACGCUGUUCUGACGGUACCCAAAGAAUAAGCACCGGCUAACUUCGUG